CCGAGCAGCGGCCUCAGCCCGGGUCCCGGCGGGGUGAAGGGACUUGCGAGCCGCUGAAGGGACGGUGUUUGAGGAGAUGCUUUCAUCAUCCUGCCCUGAAAUGGCUGCCUUUUUGGAGGAGAAUAUUAGUAUCUUCUCUGAGUCUUCAGGAAGGGAGUCUGGGAACAAGGCUGCAGGAGAGAGAGCUUCCUCUGGCAAUGUGAGCUGUGGGAACACUUCCCCAGAAGCAGAGGAUACUGAUAUCCACCUGCUGUACCUCUCCAAAAGGGCCGCUCUGCGUGGGAGGAAGCGCCUGAAGCCCAAGUCUGGGCCGGCCCCGUCAGGUGGUGAUGGCUGCGGCUCUGUGAGGCCGGGGCACCUUCCUCAGAGCCCCGAGCUCCCUGUGGACACCAAGAGGCUGAAAGAAGCCAACAAGGAGAACCUCGAGGCCGACCUGAAGGUGCCCGAGCACAGCCGCUCCCAGCAGCGCUUGGACACACCCCCGAGCAAGGACCCGCCCUUGACCAACAGGAACGAUGCUUCCAGGACAAGUGAAGCUUCUCUUGGGUUGCUUCCAGGGCAUGAGGCUUCCCCAGCUCUUCCAGAGAAAGUCAUUGCCACUCCAAGAAUUUAGAGGCUUUCAUCUAAGGUCACAGUCCUGGACAUCCAUGUCCGCAGUCCUGGUUGAAACUUAUAUAUUGUCAGGACUGUUGUAACAAUCCGUAAUAAGUUUUUAAACUGAAAUUGAUAUUUGCGUGUAUUGGCAGCACCGUUGUAGCCCUUUGCAAUAAAAUUUUUAAACUGAACUAGGUGUUGAUUUGU
RNAcentral lists this long non-coding RNA (801 nucleotides) under Lepidothrix coronata (blue-crowned manakin). Its description in RNAcentral is "lncRNA (ENSLCOG00000008111.1)". The record is from RNAcentral. Lineage: Eukaryota; Metazoa; Chordata; Aves; Passeriformes; Pipridae.